CAGCCGCCGCGGUAAUACGAAGGGGGCUAGCGUUGGUCGGAUUAACUGGGCGUAAAGGGCGCGUAGGCGGGUUUUUAAGUCAGAGGUGAAAUCCCAAGGCUCAACCUUGGAACUGCCUUUGAUACUGGAAGUCUUGAGUCCGGGAGAGGUGAGUGGAACUGCGAGUGUAGAGGUGAAAUUCGUAGAUAUUCGCAAGAACACCAGUGGCGAAGGCGGCUCACUGGCCCGGUACUGACGCUGAGGCGCGAAAGCGUGGGGAGCAAACAGGAUUAGAUACCCCUGUAGUCCCUGUCUCUUAUAC
Molecule: ribosomal RNA, 301 nt
Filed under: uncultured bacterium
Lineage: Bacteria
Description: partial 16S ribosomal RNA
Rfam family: Bacterial small subunit ribosomal RNA
Source: RNAcentral